RNA transcript from Mustela lutreola (European mink), 3294 nucleotides. It is a transcript of the gene named conserved oligomeric Golgi complex subunit 2-like, with no coding region annotated. The record is from RefSeq and is a predicted model, not a curated record. NCBI's taxonomy places the organism in Eukaryota, Metazoa, Chordata, Mammalia, Carnivora, Mustelidae. The transcript is spliced from 6 exons.
CUUCUGUGAAAAUUUUUCACAUUCAUUUAAAAUGUCAUCUAAAGGCAAAUUGUUCUUAAGGAAACUUUCGUUUCUCAUGACUUCCCUUAUUUUUAUAGUUCCAUGUAUUUCAACAGAUUUUUUUCAUAUUCUAUGAACAUUAAUGGCCAAAUAACACUUCUGUUGUUUAGCUAGUUAUGUAGCAAAAUACGGUUGUGCCAAAAAAAUAACUUAAAUCUGGUACUGCUUUGAUCGUUUAAUAGAUACGUCACUAUUACUCCUUAUCGUGAUGUGUUUGUGCCAACCUGGUUUUGCCUUUAGGUUGGCAUAAACAAAGCCCUCAAUGAACUUUCUGUGCCUUUGGGACAGUUACGAGAAGUUCUGAGUCUCAGGUCACCAGUCAGUGAAGGAAUUCGGGCAGUAGAUAAACGAAUGUGUAAACAAGAGGACAUAAGGAAGAAAAAGAUGUGUGUGUUGAGGCUUAUACAAGUUAUUUGAUCAGUUGAAAAGAUUGAAAAAAUCUUAAAUUCACAAAGUUCUAAAGAAACCUCUGCACUAGAAGGAAGCAGGUUCGUCCACACUUAGCAGACAGUCUGCAUGCGGCCCUUCUGCAGCCCGUGUGUCUCCAGCGGCUCUGCUUCGCUGCGGCCCUUGGCAGCGCCUGCAGCCCCUCCAGCCAUGUCCACGUUCGGCCCCUGGGGCGCUGGCCCUCCAGUGUUCUUCCUGUCUUUGCUGUUGCUGCUGUGCUCCUCGGAUAGAAACACCUCAGUGAGCUCUGUGUCUACAAUCCUGUCCCUUUGCAGCACUGUCCUUGAUAAACAGACAUUGUGCGCUUUCUUGCUCAGAAUUACCUUGGAGGACUUUUUUCUCCCGAAGAGCAGCUCUGAGCUCUAGAGUCAGGAAAGCCAGAGUAGCGUCAGCGCAUGGUAAAUCCAUCAUGCUCUGCCAGGCCCAGAAAUGCCGAGAAAGGGAUAAAUAGGAAAUGUGCAUGGGAUCAGUCAGUAGAGGUUGGGAUUAGGCUUCGGCACUGUUAGUGCCAAGCACUUGCCUUCCCUCCACACCAGUUCUGAUGCUCUGGGACGGGGCACACCGUGGCAGGUCUCCAGAGAUUUUGGGUUUCCUUACAGUGUGUUUCCUCACUACCUGACUGCCCAUCCUCAGAUGUGGGAUGCCUCAUAGAGCCCAGCAGGGGCUUUGGGGCCUUUGUUGUGUUUUUUUUUUCUUUCACUGUUCGACUUCCUUUUGAAUGGGGUUGACACUUUCUAAUGUGGGGGGCAAGAGGGAAGUGUAUCCAGUCCACUUGAUGGCAGAUGCACUGUGAGUGAUUUCUCACCAGCUCCCGGAGCACCGAGCUUACUCUUUCUGCCGUUGGGUAAAUUUAAACUUGGAGUCCGCUGCUCUGAGCGAUUUCCCAGGUUGCUGCUAGGCGGUCAGUUUUAGCUGAUUGAGGAGACAGCGGUAGUUGGUACUGGGGAGGUACUUGGGAGGGAGAAUGAGGCAGGCGGAGAAGAAGAGGGGGCUUCGGGUAUGAACGGUAGGACAGGGCAAGAGAGAGGAGGGGGUUAGAGAAUGGGAGAAGAAGGGCACGAAUGGGAGAGCCCGAGGAACGUGGUGGAAACAUGCAGUUGUACCCACACUGACCUAAAAUAGCUCCAUCCCCUUGCCUGGGCCCUGUGGCCCAGGCCAGGCUGCGUCGGUGGCUUCUAUGACCUCCCUGCUCCUCACCCCUUGCACUGGGGCCUGCUGCACAGACAGUUUGUCAUGAAAAUUGAUGGCAUGCAGGUGCAGGUGCCUGAGCUCUGUAAGGCAUGGGGGGCGGUGGGGGUGGCAGGUUUUAACUUUGGGAAUUACAUUUCUCUAAUUGUCUCUACUAGCCCUCUCUGGACUAGACAGAUUUUGGAGAGAAUUGCCACAGAAUUUAACCAGUUACAGUUUCAUGCUGUUCAGAGCAAAGGCAUGCCUCUUCGGGACAAAGUAAGACCAGCAAGUGUUGGUUUCGAUUUUCAAUUUGCUGUUUGCGAAUUUCCUGGAUGAUUUUGGUUUGACCUAGCAUUGUCCCUGAUAGUUGCUACUCUACAGGAUUUUGAAGCUAGCUUUGAAUUUUUUUUUUUUUUCAGUGUCUCCUGCUUGGGACCCUGCUUUCAUUAUGUCACACUAGAUAGAUUUUGUGUAAAGACACAAGCAUAGUCUCCAAACUAUGCAAGUAAAAUUAAUUCUGAAUUUCAUGUAACUUGACACAUCAUAUGAUGUAGUCAGAGUUCAUUUAUCCAAAGCCCUUGACUGGGAUUAAAUGCACGUUUGUCAGAUUUACUCCGUAGCUUAAGAGGCAAAUAACUUUUUGUCGUUCAGUAAUUAUCUGAACUUCACUUUGAUGAAGCCGACUUACUUUCAAAGAAAUCAUAGGGAGGGGACGCCUCAGUGGCUCAGUCAGUUAAGCCACUGCCUCUGGCUUAGGUCAUGAUCCCAGGGUCCUGGGAUUGAGUCCCACCUUGGGCUCCUUGCUUGGCAGGAAGCCUGCUUCUCUUUCUGCCUGUGCCUACUUGUGUGCUUGUGCUCUCUCUCGACAAAUAAAUAAAUAAAAACCUUUAAAAAAAAAAAGAAAGAAAGAAAGCAAUCAUGGGGAGAAGAGAUUCAUUGUUUUUCUCUAGGAAAUGUUGGGAUUUUAAUCUUACAUAUAUUCUGGUAGAAUUAGAGGCUCGAUUUAUAUAUAUAACACAUAUGUAUAUAAAUUAUACACAUAUAUUGGAGCUUUUAGAAACUGUUGUGCCUGGACCUUCUUUCCUGGUCUCUCUGUUCUUGCAGCGUAUAGCCCACAUUACGGCCAUGCUGCAGCAGUCCCUGGGAGGCCUGUUGCUAGAAGGGCUUCAGACUUCCAAUGUGGACAUCAUACGGCACUGCCUCCGGACUUAAGCUACAUUUGACAAGACACGGGAUGCAGAGGCGUUCGUUGGUCAAGUACUGGUGAAACCGUACAUGGAUGAGGUGAUUGUAGAGCAGAUUGUUGAGUCUCAUCCGGACGGCCUGAAGAUCAUGUAUGCUAAUAAGCUCCUGGAGUUCGUUCCUCACCACUGCCGCCUUCUUCGAGAGGUCACAGGAGGAGCCAUCUCAAGGAAGAAGAGAUUAGGACACAGACAGUACAGACUGAAGGACAAUCGUUUGAAGACAGAGUGGAGAACACAGCUCUCUGCAAGCCAAGGAGAGACGUUUGAGGAAUCGAACCCUACUGCCACCUUGAUCUUGGACUUCCAGCGCCCAGAACCAUGAGAAAAUAAACUGCAUGUUGCCUAAGCCACCCGACUGUUGAUAUUUUGUUUA